GGGCGGGUGGCGGAAUGGCAGACGCAGGGGACUUAAAAUCCCCUGGGGCGAAAGCCCCGUGCGGGUUCGAGUCCCGCCCCGCCCA
RNAcentral lists this transfer RNA (85 nucleotides) under Phycisphaerae bacterium. Its description in RNAcentral is "tRNA-Leu". It matches the Rfam family "tRNA". From Rfam's summary of the family: Transfer RNA (tRNA) molecules are approximately 80 nucleotides in length. Lineage: Bacteria; Pseudomonadati; Planctomycetota; Phycisphaerae. The record is from RNAcentral.